This 1128-nucleotide long non-coding RNA is filed under the name Androctonus crassicauda. Lineage: Eukaryota; Metazoa; Arthropoda; Arachnida; Scorpiones; Buthidae. The record is from RNAcentral.
GUAGCAUAAAUACAAUAAAAUAAACUAAUAUAACAUUUAAUUAAAUAUACAAUAAAUUUCUUUUAGAAAACAAAAAAGUUGUUAGAAACAAAUAACACCAUAAAAUAAAUAAAAGUCCAAAGGAGUCUGGUUACGGUAGUUCAGAAUUUGGCUAUAUCCAAAUAAUAACAGCAGUAUAUAGCAGGCUUAUUACGCAGCUACUUGUUGUAUUUUUAUUAGCUUGUCUUCUUUAAGAUGUACUUCCACUAUAAUUCUUCUUAUUGGAAUGGAUGUACUUCCAUGCUGGUGGCAGGUCAACCAUUGGCCUAUCAUUGACAAGGUUGACCUGCAAGUUCUGUCUCCCGUCUCCUAGUUAUCUCGAUCCUCUCUGCUAGUAAGGCUUGUGAUUCAUUUCUAAUGGGUUUUACAAUUCUAGCAUUGUGCCAUCCACCCUUAUGUUUGCAAUGUGGGCCUCCAUUGCUAAUGCAAAAUUUGAACACUGCGUUAGCAACAGAGGCCUGUAAUGCAAACAUAAGGGUGGAUUGGCAAGACCUACCAUUAUUUUUAUAUGAUGAUAGGUCUUAGGAUUAUACUGGAAUAAAGACUGGAGCAUAUGUAUCUUUUCUGUAUACAGUUAUACUAAAUUCAGGGCCUUUAAGAUCAGUUGGGACAUCUAGAAAAUCUAUUUGAUUAAUAAAUAAUGGUUCAUUUAUAGGUUGAAAUCACAGAUCUUGUCUGUAAAAUCUGCUAUGAAUUUCUUGGUGUUAUAUGUUUCUCUCCAUGUAAUCAGGAUGUCAUCAACAUACUGCACUAACAUAACCAAACAUUAUACAAUUGACUAAAAAGAGAUAGAACUAGCAAACAUCCAGAAAUGAAACCAAUACUUUAUAUAAUACUAAUGAAAAAUGAAAAACUGAGCAAAAAUGAGGCAUACAUAGGAAAAUCAUACAGGACAUCGAAACAAAGAUUAAUAGAACACAUGCAAGAUAUAACUAAAGGCAAUCUGAACACAGCAUCGACAAGAAGAUUCUAUGAAACAAACCUACUAGAAAAACAGGAUCAAAUAAAAAUUAUAAAAAGUAUAUCCAAGGAGGCAAUCUAAGUAAAAUAACAAAGCCAUAUAAAUACAAAAAAGAAGAGAGAGUGCAU